GGCGGCGUGCUUAACACAUGCAAGUCGAGCGGUAAGGCCCUUCGGGGUACACGAGCGGCGAACGGGUGAGUAACACGUGAGCAACCUGCCCCUGACUCCGGGAUAAGCGGUGGAAACGCCGUCUAAUACCGGAUACGACCCGCCACCUCAUGGUGGAGGGUGGAAAGUUUUAUCGGUCAGGGAUGGGCUCGCGGCCUAUCAGCUUGUUGGUGGGGUAACGGCCUACCAAGGCGAUUACGGGUAGCCGGCCUGAGAGGGCGACCGGCCACACUGGGACUGAGACACGGCCCAGACUCCUGCGGGAGGCAGCAGUGGGGAAUAUUGCACAAUGGGCGAAAGCCUGAUGCAGCGACGCCGCGUGGGGGAUGACGGCCUUCGGGUUGUAAACCUCUUUUACCACCAACGCAGGCUCCACGUUCUCGUGGGGUUGACGGUAGGUGGGGAAUAAGGACCGGCUAACUACGUGCCAGCAGCCGCGGUAAUACGUAGGGUCCGAGCGUUGUCCGGAAUUAUUGGGCGUAAAGAGCUCGUAGGCGGCAUGUCGCGUCUGCUGUGAAAGACCGGGGCUUAACUUCGGUUCUGCAGUGGAUACGGGCAUGCUAGAGGUAGGUAGGGGAAACUGGAAUUCCUGGUGUAGCGGUGAAAUGCGCAGAUAUCAGGAGGAACACCGGUGGCGAAGGCGGGUUUCUGGGCCUUACCUGACGCUGAGGAGCGAAAGCAUGGGGAGCGAACAGGAUUAGAUACCCUGGUAGUCCAUGCCGUAAACGUUGGGCGCUAGGUGUGGGGACUUUCCACGGUUUCCGCGCCGUAGCUAACGCAUUAAGCGCCCCGCCUGGGGAGUACGGCCGC
RNAcentral lists this ribosomal RNA (849 nucleotides) under Nocardiopsis sp. IM-3701. RNAcentral describes it as "bacterial SSU rRNA". It matches the Rfam family "Bacterial small subunit ribosomal RNA", at positions 38 to 889 of the family's 1533-position model. Lineage: Bacteria; Bacillati; Actinomycetota; Actinomycetes; Streptosporangiales; Nocardiopsidaceae. The record is from RNAcentral.